GUGAGGAAUAUUGCGCAAUGGAGGCAACUCUGACGCAGCCAUGCCGCGUGCAGGAAGAAGGCGCUACGCGUUGUAAACUGCUUUUAACCGGGAAGAAACCCCAGGACGUGUCCUGGGUUGACGGUACCGGAGGAAUAAGCACCGGCUAACUUCGUGCCAGCAGCCGCGGUAAUACGAAGGGUGCAAGCGUUAUCCGGAUUCAUUGGGUUUAAAGGGUGCGUAGGCGGAGCGUUAAGUCAGUGGGGAAAUCCUGCAGCUUAACUGUAGACUUGCCAUUGAUACUGGCGCUCUUGAGUGCGCUUGAAGUGGGCGGAAUGUGCCGUGUAGCGGUGAAAUGCUUAGAUAUGGCACAGAACACCAAUUGCGAAGGCAGCUCACUAAGGCGAUACUGACGCUGAGGCACGAAAGCGUGGGGAUCGAACAGGAUUAGAUACCCUGGUAGUCC
This 445-nucleotide ribosomal RNA is filed under the name uncultured bacterium. RNAcentral describes it as "partial 16S ribosomal RNA". It matches the Rfam family "Bacterial small subunit ribosomal RNA", at positions 354 to 796 of the family's 1533-position model. The record is from RNAcentral.